AAUAUUGGACAAUGGGCGAAAGCCUGAUCCAGCCACGCCGCGUGUGUGAAGAAGGUCUCCGGAUUGUAAAGCACCUCUUGUGGGGAGGAAGGGCAGUAGAUUAAUACCUGACUGUUUUGACGUUACCGACAGAAUAAGCACCGGCUACCUUCGCGCCAGCAGCCGCGGUAAUACGAAGGGUGCAAGCGUUAAUCGGAAUUACUGGGAGUAAAGCGGGCGUAGGUGGUUUGUUAAGUUGGAAGUGAAAGCCCCGGGCUCAACCUGGGGACUGCUUUCAAAACUGGCAAGCUAGAGUAUGGCAGAGGGUGGUGGAAUUUCCUGUGUAGCGGUGAAAUGCGUAGAUAUAGGAAGGAACACCAGUGGCGAAGGCGACCACCUGGGCUAAUACUGACACUGAGGUGCGAAAGCGUGGGAAGCAAAC
This 421-nucleotide ribosomal RNA is filed under the name uncultured bacterium. RNAcentral describes it as "partial 16S ribosomal RNA". It matches the Rfam family "Bacterial small subunit ribosomal RNA", at positions 360 to 773 of the family's 1533-position model. The record is from RNAcentral.